AUAGCGUAUAUUAAAGUUGUUGCAGUUAAAAAGCUCGUAGUCGAACUUCGGCCUCUGCCGCCCGGUCCGCCUAUUUGGGUGUGUACUGGAGCGGUGGAGGCUUACCUCGUGGUGAGCGGCGAUGUCCUUUACUGGGCGUCGUCGGGAACCAUGACUUUUACUUUGAAAAAAUUAGAGUGUUCAAAGCAGGCUUACGCCCGAAUACAUUAGCAUGGAAUAAUAAAAUAGGACGUGCGGUCCUAUUUUGUUGGUUUCUAGGAUCGCCGUAAUGAUUAAUAGGGAUAGUUGGGGGCAUUCGUAUUCAAUUGCUAGAGGUGAAAUUCUUGGAUUUAUUGAAGACGAACUACUG
RNAcentral lists this ribosomal RNA (349 nucleotides) under uncultured eukaryote. RNAcentral's name for it is "SSU rRNA". It matches the Rfam family "Eukaryotic small subunit ribosomal RNA", at positions 594 to 945 of the family's 1831-position model. The record is from RNAcentral.